GGGCCCGUAGCUCAGCCAGGAUAGAGCGUCGGCCUGCGGAGCCGGAGGUCCCGGGUUCAAAUCCCGGCGGGCCCG
Molecule: transfer RNA, 75 nt
Filed under: Desulfurococcaceae archaeon AG1
Lineage: Archaea; Thermoproteati; Thermoproteota; Thermoprotei; Desulfurococcales; Desulfurococcaceae
Rfam family: tRNA
About the family: Transfer RNA (tRNA) molecules are approximately 80 nucleotides in length. Their secondary structure includes four short double-helical elements and three loops (D, anti-codon, and T loops).
Source: Rfam by way of RNAcentral